CGCACGGGUGAGUAACACGUAUCCAACCUGCCGUCUACUCUUGGACAGCCUUCUGAAAGGAAGAUUAAUACAAGAUGGCAUCAUGAGUCCGCAUGUUCACAUGAUUAAAGGCAUUCCGGUAGACGAUGGGGAUGCGUUCCAUUAGAUAGUAGGCGGGGUAACGGCCCACCUAGUCUUCGAUGGAUAGGGGUUCUGAGAGGAAGGUCCCCCACAUUGGAACUGAGACACGGUCCAAACUCCUACGGGAGGCAGCAG
This 255-nucleotide ribosomal RNA is filed under the name uncultured bacterium. RNAcentral describes it as "partial 16S ribosomal RNA". It matches the Rfam family "Bacterial small subunit ribosomal RNA", at positions 99 to 354 of the family's 1533-position model. The record is from RNAcentral.